Molecule: ribosomal RNA, 1394 nt
Filed under: uncultured Clostridium sp.
Lineage: Bacteria; Bacillati; Bacillota; Clostridia; Eubacteriales; Clostridiaceae
Description: bacterial SSU rRNA
Rfam family: Bacterial small subunit ribosomal RNA
Source: RNAcentral
GUUUGAUCCUGGCUCACGACGAACGCUGGCGGCGUGCUUAACACAUGCAAGUCGAGCGGAGUAAAGAGGGGCUUGCUUUUCUUUACUUAGCGGCGGACGGGUGAGUAACACGUGGGCAACCUACCGUAUGGAGGGGAAUAACAGGGAGAAAUCUUUGCUAAUACCGCAUAGAUCCAAAGUUUUGCAUAAAGCUUUGGAGAAAGGAGAAAUCCGCCAUAGGAUGGGCCCGCGUCCCAUUAGCUAGUUGGUGAGAUAACAGCCCACCAAGGCGACGAUGGGUAGCCGACCUGAGAGGGUGAACGGCCAACAGUUGGGCAACUGAGAACGUACUAGACUGCCUAGCGAGCAGUCAGUGGGUGAUACUGCUACAUGGGUGACCCAUGCAUGCAGCACGCGCUGAGCGACUGAACGUCUUCGGAUUGUAAGCUUCGUCUACGCUGACGACUAUAGACGUAAGCGAGAGAGACCGGCUAACUGACGUGCCAGCAGCCGGUAAUACGUAGUGCAUGCGUGUCCGAAUACUGGGCGUAAAGGUGCGUAGGCGGUUUUUAAGUGGGAUGUGAAAUCCUGAGGUUAACUUCAAAUUGCAUUCAAACUGGAAGGCUAGAUACAGGAGAGGAAAAGCGGAUUUCCCAGUGUAGCGGUGAAAUGCGUAGAGAUUGGGAGGAACACCAGUGGAAGGCGGCUUUUCUGGACUGUAACUGACGCUGAGCACGAAGCGUGGAGCAAACAGGAUUAGAUACCCUGGUAGUCCACGCCGUAACGAUGGAUACUAGGUGUGGGGGGGCUAAGCCCUCUGUGCCGCAUUACACAUUAAGUAUUCCGCCUGGGGAGUACGAUGCAGAUUAAAUCAAAGCGAAUUGACGGGACCCCGCACAAGCACGACAUGUGGUUUCAUUCGAUGCACGUCGAAGAACCUUACCAUAGGCUCUGACAUCUAAAAAUUAAUAAGAUUAUUCGGAGUGUCCCUGAAACGGGGAGUCUUUAGUACAGUGGUGCAUGAGUUAGCUCGUCAGUCGUGGUCGUGUAGAUGUUCAGUAAGUCUGCAAACAGAGCGCAACCUACGUAUUAGUGACAUACUCAUUAAUUCGCAGCACCUGUAAGACCGUGCACCCUGAGCCUAAGGUUAACUUAGAGGAAGGUGGGGAUGACGUCAAAUCAUCAUGCCCUUUAUGCCUUGGGCAACACACGUGCUACAAUGGUCGGUACAAAGAGAAGCAAUACCGCGAGGAGGAGCAAAUCUUAAAAACCGAUCCCAGUUCGGAUUGCAGAUUUCAACUCGCCUGCAUGAAGCCGGAGUUGUUAGUAAUCGUGAAUCAGCAUGUCACGGUGAAUACGUUCCCGGGUCUUGUACACACCGCCCGUCACACCAUGAGAGUCAGUAACACCCGAAG